CCCUUAGACGUUCUGGGCCGUACGCGCGCUACACUGACCAGUGCAACAAGCAUCCGUCCUUGGCCGACAGGCCCGGGCAAUCUUUGAACGCUGGUCGUGAUGGGGAUAGACUUUUGCAAUUUUUGGUCUUCAACGAGGAAUUCCUAGUAAACGCAAGUCAUCAACUUGCAUUGAUUACGUCCCUGCCCUUUGUACACACCGCCCGUCGCACCUACCGAUUGAAUGGUCCGGUGAAGCCUCCGGAUUGGCGCGCACCUCGGUGCCGCCGAGAAGUUGGCUAAACCUUACCAUUUAGAGGAAGGUGAAGUCGUAACA
This 315-nucleotide ribosomal RNA is filed under the name uncultured eukaryote. RNAcentral describes it as "partial 18S ribosomal RNA". It matches the Rfam family "Eukaryotic small subunit ribosomal RNA", at positions 1470 to 1796 of the family's 1831-position model. The record is from RNAcentral.